CCCAGCACUUUGGGAGGCCAACGCGGGUGGAUCACCUGAGUCAGGAGCUCGAGACCAGCCUGACCAAUAUGGUGUUAUUUUCUUUUUUAAAGAAGAACAAUCAUAUUGCCAGAAGAAUCAAUGACCCAGCCCUACUGCACGCCAAGAGGUUGCGACACACUUAGAUAUUGUUAGAGGUUUGCUUCUGCUACCAAACCAUUUGCAUUCUCCUGGGGACAGUGCUCUCCUGAUGUGACUCUUAUUCUGAAUUUACAGCAGGAGGUGGUGGCAUAUACCUGGUGAGACCCAGGGAGGGCAGGAUCAGCACCAUGAAGAUCAAGAAUAUGUAGACUUUGGUCAUCACGAUCUGGUUUUCCCCUGACCUGCAGGAAGUCAAAGCACAGCAAAGAAAGCAAUUUCACAUACAAGUAAACGCCACUUACCUGACUAAACAGAUUAAAUAACCUUCUCUGCUCCCUAUACAAAACAAAUGACUGAUGCCAUGGGAAGACUGAACACUGAAGGCCUGGAGUCCUGGCUGGGGGCGUGGGGCGGGCAGGGGAUGCCCUGCCUGCUCAGCUCCCACUGGUCCAGCUGCAGCAUAUCAGGACUCUACUGUGUGUGUCCACAAUCCUGCUGUUUGUUACUGUGAUUACAUGAGCUGAUUGACUUAUUACUGUCACUUAUUAGAUGAACAUAAAAAUAGAGAGAAAUUUUCUUUGAAAACUAAGUUGGAUACUUUGGAAAGACUUGAUAAAAGUCAAUUUCUAAAAAAAAAAAAAAAACGCUGUUAAUUAGAUGAGAGUAAAUUAACGAUAAAAGAUCAAGGGAUAUGCGAUCUAGGAAGUUUCUAUAUUCAGAAUGGCUCUGCAAAUAUCUAAAUUCUUCAUUUACUUUAAAGAAGGCAACACUGGAAUCACAAAACAAUGAAAUAAGGAGUGGUUGAUGUAAAAUAGACAAAGGGGAGCUCUUAACAGCAGAUCCAUCCUCAAAAGAAUAAGCCUGUCCCUCUAUUAAAAGAUUGGCAAAGGAAUGCAUGUUUAUAAUACCUGCUUCAAAUCUUAAACAAAACUGCUGAAUUUAUACUUAGGUAGUUUUAAACUAUUUAUGGAGUCAGAUAAGAGCUUCAACCACACAUCAGCUCACUGAUUAUCAUGACAACAGCCUCGUGUCCUGUAUAAUAGGGCAGGUGUUUUAACUCCAGUCCUUGGAUGAAAAACUGAGGUUCAGAAUUCAUCAGAUGGGGAGAAUGGCAAAGUGAGGACAAGGAGGCCCUCCUGCCCAGUAUGCUUUCCCAGAGAAUAAGUAACCAAAUGCAAAGUGAAAUUUAAAAAGAAAAACAAUUUAGGGAGAUGGCUUGGCAAAGUUAAUCAUGAGAAACCAAUAGCUUUUUGAGUAAAUGCCAGUUGAGUGUUUGGCUGUUAUCUCAUUGACUCAUGUAAGAUUUUUGAAAAUCAUUCAUUACCUAUACAGAAUAAAUAGUUUUUGUUGUUUUUU
Macaca mulatta (Rhesus monkey) is the source of this 1476-nucleotide non-coding RNA. The record is from RefSeq and is a predicted model, not a curated record. NCBI's taxonomy places the organism in Eukaryota, Metazoa, Chordata, Mammalia, Primates, Cercopithecidae.